GAUGAACGCUAGCGGCAGGCUUAAUACAUGCAAGUCGAGGGGCAGCACGGUUAGCAAUAACUGGUGGCGACCGGCGCACGGGUGCGUAACACGUAUACAAUCUACCUUAAACAGGGGGAUAGCCUUUCGAAAGAGAGAUUAAUACCCCGUAAUAAAUUGAAACGGCAUCGUUUGAUUUUUGAAAGCUCCGGCGGUUUGAGAUGAGUAUGCGUCUGAUUAGCUAGUUGGUGAGGUAACGGCUCACCAAGGCGACGAUCAGUAGGGGAUCUGAGAGGACUAACCCCCACACUGGUACUGAGACACGGACCAGACUCCUACGGGAGCAGCAGUAAGGAAUAUUGGU
This 343-nucleotide ribosomal RNA is filed under the name uncultured bacterium. RNAcentral describes it as "bacterial SSU rRNA". It matches the Rfam family "Bacterial small subunit ribosomal RNA", at positions 28 to 368 of the family's 1533-position model. The record is from RNAcentral.